UACGUAGGGUGCAAGCGUUAAUCGGAAUUACUGGGCGUAAAGCGUGCGCAGGCGGUUAUGCAAGACAGAGGGGAAAUCCCCGGGCUCAACCUGGGAACUGCCUUUGUGACUGCAUAGCUAGAGUACGGUAGAGGGGGAUGGAAUUCCGCGUGUAGCAGUGAAAUGCGUAGAUAUGCGGAGGAAUACCGGUGGCGAAGGCGGCCCCCUGGACAAAGACUGACGCUCAGGUGCGAAAGCGUGGGGAGCAAACAGG
RNAcentral lists this ribosomal RNA (253 nucleotides) under uncultured bacterium. Its description in RNAcentral is "partial 16S ribosomal RNA". It matches the Rfam family "Bacterial small subunit ribosomal RNA", at positions 524 to 776 of the family's 1533-position model. The record is from RNAcentral.